CCUACGGGAGGCAGCAGUGGGGAAUAUUGGACAAUGGGCGAAAGCCUGAUCCAGCAAUGCCGCGUGAGUGAUGAAGGCCUUCGGGUCGUAAAGCUCUUUUACCAGGGAUGAUAAUGACAGUACCUGGAGAAUAAGCUCCGGCUAACUCCGUGCCAGCAGCCGCGGUAAUACGGAGGGAGCUAGCGUUGUUCGGAAUUACUGGGCGUAAAGAGUACGUAGGCGGUUAUUCAAGUCAGAGGUGAAAGCCCGGGGCUCAACCCCGGAACUGCCUUUGAAACUAGAUAACUAGAGUCUUGGAGAGGUUAGUGGAAUUCCGAGUGUAGAGGUGAAAUUCGUAGAUAUUCGGAAGAACACCAGUGGCGAAGGCGACUAACUGGACAAGUACUGACGCUGAGGUACGAAAGCGUGGGGAGCAAACAGGAUUAGAUACCCUGGUAGUCCACGCCGUAAACGAUGAUAACUAGUUGUUCGGUCACUUGGUGACUGAGUGACGCAGCUAACGCAUUAAGUUAUCCGCCUGGGGAUACGGUCGCAAGAUUAAAACUCAAAGGAAUUGACGGCUGAGACNGCGAGACGACACGAGGAGAG
RNAcentral lists this ribosomal RNA (588 nucleotides) under uncultured bacterium. RNAcentral describes it as "bacterial SSU rRNA". It matches the Rfam family "Bacterial small subunit ribosomal RNA", at positions 338 to 948 of the family's 1533-position model. The record is from RNAcentral.